GCAACAGCUCAAAUUUGAAAUCUGGCGCAAGCCCGAGUUGUAAUUUGCAGAGGAUGUUUCGGGUGAAGCCACGGUCCAAGUCCCUUGGAACAGGACGUCAUAGAGGGUGAGAACCCCGUACCUGGCCGUCGGUGCCCCCCGCUGUGAAACUCCUUCGACGAGUCGAGUUGUUUGGGAAUGCAGCUCUAAAUUGGUGGUAAAUUCCAUCUAAAGCUAAAUACCGGCCAGAGACCGAUAGCGCACAAGUAGAGUGAUCGAAAGAUGAAAAGCACUUUGAAAAGAGAGUUAAAAAGUACGUGAAAUUGUUGAAAGGGAAGCGCUUGCGGCCAGACUUGCCCGCGGUUGCUCAGCCCGCCUUUUGGCGGGUGCACUCUUCCGCGGUCAGGCCAGCAUCGGUUUGGGCGGCCGGACAAAGGCGCCGGGAACGUGGCCUCCCCUCGGGGAGGCGUUAUAGCCCGGCGCGCAAUGCGGCCAGCCCGGACCGAGGUUCGCGCUCUGCUAGGAUGCUGGCGUAAUGGCCGUAAGCGGCCCGUCUUGAAACACGGACCAAGGAGUCUAACAUCUAUGCGAGUGUUUGGGUGUCAAACCCGUGCGCGUAAUGAAAGUGAACGGAGGUGGGAACCGCAAGGUGCACCAUCGACCGAUCCUGAUGUCUUCGGAAGGAUUUGAGUAAGAGCAUAGCUGUUGGGACCCGAAAGAUGGUGAACUAUGCGUGAAUAGGGUGAAGCCAGAGGAAACUCUGGUGGAGGCUCGCAGCGGUUCUGACGUGCAAAUCGAUCGUCAA
RNAcentral lists this ribosomal RNA (784 nucleotides) under Venturia aucupariae. RNAcentral describes it as "partial large subunit ribosomal RNA". It matches the Rfam family "Eukaryotic large subunit ribosomal RNA", at positions 101 to 908 of the family's 3401-position model. RNAcentral also lists the same sequence under 1 other name. The record is from RNAcentral. Lineage: Eukaryota; Fungi; Ascomycota; Dothideomycetes; Venturiales; Venturiaceae.